RNAcentral lists this ribosomal RNA (813 nucleotides) under uncultured bacterium. RNAcentral's name for it is "bacterial SSU rRNA". It matches the Rfam family "Bacterial small subunit ribosomal RNA", at positions 51 to 913 of the family's 1533-position model. The record is from RNAcentral.
ACACAUGCAAGUCGAACGAAGUAGCAAUACUUAGUGGCAGACGGGUGAGUAACAUGUAGGUAUCUGCCCUUUGGCCUGGAAUAACACGAGGAAACUUGUGCUAAUACCGGAUAAGUCUUUACGGAGAAAGCUUUAUGCACCAUUGGAUGAGCCUGCACUUGAUUAGUUUGUUGGUGGGGUAAUGGCCUACCAAGACUGUGAUCAAUAGCUGAUUUGAGAGGAUGAUCAGCCACAUUGGGACUGAGACACGGCCCAAACUCCUACGGGAGGCAGCAGUGGGGAAUCUUGCACAAUGGAGGAAACUCUGAUGCAGCGAUGCCGCGUGAGUGAAGAAGGCCCUUGGGUUGUAAAGCUCUUUCGUCGGGGAAGAAAAUGACUGUACCCGAAUAAGAAGGUCCGGCUAACUUCGUGCCAGCAGCCGCGGUAAUACGAAGGGACCUAGCGUAGUUCGGAAUUACUGGGCUUAAAGAGUUCGUAGGUGGUUGAAAAAGUUAGUGGUGAAAUCCCAGAGCUUAACUCUGGAACUGCCAUUAAAACUUUUCAGCUAGAGUAUGAUAGAGGAAAGCAGAAUUUCUAGUGUAGAGGUGAAAUUCGUAGAUAUUAGAAAGAAUACCAAUUGCGAAGGCAGCUUUCUGGAUCAUUACUGACACUGAGGAACGAAAGCAUGGGUAGCGAAGAGGAUUAGAUACCCUCGUAGUCCAUGCCGUAAACGAUGUGUGUUAGACGUUGGAAAUUUAUUUUCAGUGUCGCAGGAAACCGAUAAACACACCGCCNGGGGAGUACGACCGCAAGGUUAAAACUCAAAUGAAUUGA